UGGCUUAGAAGCAGCCAUCAUUUAAAGAGUGCGUAAUAGCUCACUAGUCGAGUGACACUGCGCCGAAAAUGUACCGGGGCUAAACAUAUUACCGAAGCUGUGGAUUGUCCUUUGGACAAUGGUAGGA
RNAcentral lists this ribosomal RNA (127 nucleotides) under Staphylococcus epidermidis. RNAcentral's name for it is "partial 23S ribosomal RNA". It matches the Rfam family "Bacterial large subunit ribosomal RNA", at positions 1102 to 1232 of the family's 2925-position model. The record is from RNAcentral. Lineage: Bacteria; Bacillati; Bacillota; Bacilli; Caryophanales; Staphylococcaceae.